This 798-nucleotide ribosomal RNA is filed under the name uncultured Bacillota bacterium. RNAcentral's name for it is "bacterial SSU rRNA". It matches the Rfam family "Bacterial small subunit ribosomal RNA", at positions 71 to 902 of the family's 1533-position model. The record is from RNAcentral. Lineage: Bacteria; Bacillati; Bacillota.
AAAGUGGAGCAAUCCAUGAGUACAGUGGCGUACGGGUGAGUAACACGUGGAUCAUCUACCUUUUAGUGGGGAAUACCCCCGGGAAACUGGGGAUAAUACCGCAUAAGCUCGUAAGAGGAAAGCAGCAAUGCGCUGAAAGAGGAGUCCGCGGCUGAUUAGCUAGUUGGUGAGGUAAUGGCUCACCAAGGCGAAGAUCGGUAGCCGGCCUGAGAGGGCACACGGCCACACUGGCACUGAAACACGGGCCAGACUCCUACGGGAGGCAGCAGUGGGGAAUCUUGCACAAUGGAGGAAACUCUGAUGCAGCGACGCCGCGUGAGCGAUGAAGCCCUUCGGGGUGUAAAGCUCUUUCGACGGGAACGAUAAUGACGGUACCCGAAAAAGAAGCUGCGGCUAACUACGUGCCAGCAGCCGCGGUAAUACGUAGGCAGCAAGCGUUGUUCGGAAUUACUGGGCGUAAAGAGUGUGUAGGCGGUGCUCUAAGUCUGUUGUGAAAUCUCCCGGCUUAACCGGGAGGGUGCGGCGGAAACUGGAGUGCUUGAGGGUGGGAGAGGUAAGCGGAAUUCCUGGUGUAGCGGUGAAAUGCGUAGAUAUCAGGAGGAACACCUGUGGUGUAGACAGCUUACUGGACCACUUCUGACGCUGAGACACGAAAGCGUGGGUAGCAAACAGGAUUAGAUACCCUGGUAGUCCACGCCCUAAACGAUGCAUACUUGGUGUGAGCGAUUCAUUUCGUUCGUGCCGGAGCUAACGCGUUAAGUAUGCCGCCUGGGGAGUACGGUCGCAAGGCUGAAACUC